CGGCCGUAACUAUAACGGUCCUAAGGUAGCGAAAUUCCUUGUCGGGUAAGUUCCGACCUGCACGAAUGGCGUAACGAUGGCCACACUGUCUCCUCCUGAGACUCAGCGAAGUUGAAAUGUUUGUGAUGAUGCAAUCUCCCCGCGGAAAGACGGAAAGACCCCAUGAACCUUUACUGUAGCUUUGUAUUGGACUUUGAACAGAUCUGUGUAGGAUAGGUGGGAGGCUUUGAAGCAGGGUCGCUAGAUCUUGUGGAGCCAACGUUGAAAUACCACCCUGGUGUGUUUGAGGUUCUAACCUAGGUCCAUUAUCUGGAUCGGGGACAGUGCAUGGUAGGCAGUUUGACUGGGGCGGUCUCCUCCCAAAGCGUAACGGAGGAGUUCGAAGGUACGCUAGUUACGGUCGGACAUCGUGACGAUAGUGCAAUGGCAUAAGCGUGCUUAACUGCGAGACUGACAAGUCGAGCAGAUGCGAAAGCAGGACAUAGUGAUCCGGUGGUUCUGUAUGGAAGGGCCAUCGCUCAACGGAUAAAAGGUACUCUGGGGAUAACAGGCUGAUACCGCCCAAGAGUUCAU
Molecule: non-coding RNA, 573 nt
Filed under: Brugia timori
Lineage: Eukaryota; Metazoa; Nematoda; Chromadorea; Rhabditida; Onchocercidae
Description: Bacterial large subunit ribosomal RNA
Rfam family: Bacterial large subunit ribosomal RNA
Source: Rfam by way of RNAcentral